CAUGAAAAUUAUGAUGUCACCAGAAGUAGUACUGUACAUGAGCACCGUCACUGCCACACAGUGCUCCUCUCACUGACCACCAAUGAAAGAGGUGCCCCUUCCAGAAGUGUGGUGGGGGCUGGAUACAUGGCCUCAGGGGGCCACAUGUGGCCCACGGGCUGUAGUUUAGGUACCCCUGCUGUAGAGCAUACUCAUACAUUAGCUGGUUGUGAUCUCUUUACCCUGUGGUGAAGAGGACACUUUGAUUGUUCAUGGAUCUAGGACUGGGUGCAUUCAGAAGGGGAUGGAUACUCACAAUGUCCUUUUGGAGAUUUGAAGAUACAAGAGAUUCCACCAGUUCUUAUACCAUAGAAUUAAGCCAUUCCAGAAUAUCCUAGAUAAUAUGUUUGGUGCCACCCAGCCACCAUAGGGUAGCUCUUAAAUGUGAUUAGAAGCUUUGUGAUUUCCCCCAAUAAAGACUGUGAGAACUGGAGCUUUCUUCUCUCC
This 486-nucleotide long non-coding RNA is filed under the name Monodelphis domestica (gray short-tailed opossum). Its description in RNAcentral is "lncRNA (ENSMODG00000030398.2)". The record is from RNAcentral. Lineage: Eukaryota; Metazoa; Chordata; Mammalia; Didelphimorphia; Didelphidae.